RNAcentral lists this long non-coding RNA (235 nucleotides) under Trifolium pratense (red clover). RNAcentral describes it as "long non-coding RNA (TPRA_LNC002361)". The record is from RNAcentral. Lineage: Eukaryota; Viridiplantae; Streptophyta; Magnoliopsida; Fabales; Fabaceae.
UGUUGCGCCCAGCUUGGGCAGAUCCAAGCCUGGCUUGGCACGAAAACUGAACUAUAAAUUCAAAACAUUUUCUGAUUUUUAGGUUACAAAAUUCUGGAUCAAAAACUGAUUUUUGACGGCUAUUUCAGAGGAUCAAAGAGACAUUCAAGCAAGGAUUCAAGGGUGGAAACACAUCUAAUCCCUUCUUGUAAUGAUGAUUUCUUUCACUCAUGUUAAUGUAAUUUCUUAUUUGANN